This 468-nucleotide ribosomal RNA is filed under the name uncultured bacterium. RNAcentral describes it as "partial 16S ribosomal RNA". It matches the Rfam family "Bacterial small subunit ribosomal RNA", at positions 28 to 507 of the family's 1533-position model. The record is from RNAcentral.
GACGAACGCUGGCGGCGUGCCUAACACAUGCAAGUCGAACGGAAAGGCCCUGCUUUUGUGGGGUGCUCGAGUGGCGAACGGGUGAGUAACACGUGAGUAACCUGCCCUUGACUUUGGGAUAACUUCAGGAAACUGGGGCUAAUACCGGAUAGGAGCUCCUGCUGCAUGGUGGGGGUUGGAAAGUUUCGGCGGUUGGGGAUGGACUCGCGGCUUAUCAGCUUGUUGGUGGGGUAGUGGCUUACCAAGGGUUUGACGGGUAGCCGGCCUGGGAGGGUGACCGGCCACAUUGGGCCUGAGGUACGGCCCAGACUCCUACGGGAGGCAGCGGUGGGGAAUAUUGCACAAUGGGCGGAAGCCUGAUGCAGCAACGCCGCGUGCGGGAUGACGGCCUUCGGGUUGUAAACCGCUUUCGCCUGUGACGAAGCGUGAGUGACGGUAAUGGGUAAAGAAGCACCGGCUAACUACGUG